Molecule: long non-coding RNA, 1180 nt
Organism: Oncorhynchus tshawytscha (Chinook salmon)
Lineage: Eukaryota; Metazoa; Chordata; Actinopteri; Salmoniformes; Salmonidae
Source: Ensembl
CCAUGAAGGAUAGUAUUUUCUGUAGCGUGUAGACAAUUUAUGAGACAUGUUCUUUUAGAGGAUGUAAAUUAUAAUGUUUUUAUAGUGCCCUAGUUUUUUUGAGUGAAUGGGGGGGAAUUACAUGCUGGGUGCUGAGAAAGGUUUUAAGGCUGAACAGUAAGAUACAGGUAAGGGUCCAGGCACAUACUCUGGGGAGUUCAGGGAUAUGGGGUAAGAGUAUUUGAACAAUUUUGUGUCAGUUGAUCGAGGACCCUGUCUCAAGCUUCCUAAUCACUGUUCAGGUUUCUUUAAAACACACAGUUAAUGAUCCUCAUUGACAGUCAAACUGGUGCUGUCACCCCCCUAGGACACACAGCUCUCAGACCCUGCCUGUUUGUCACAGUGUCUCCCACUCCGUGUCGACUGUAAGACCAUGGCUGGUAGACAGUUAGUGGUUUGUACAGCGGUUCUGACUGAAAAUGUCACGCUUCCUGUUGCUUUGCAGCUGCCACCUCUGCUACUUCCAUUACUUUCUAUAAUAUGCAGAUGUUGUAACAACAUUCCCAGACAAGGGGACUACAAUAACUGUGUGAUUCAUGCAAUGUUUCAGAGGCCCGUCAAUUUCUGAAGUGGUACAAUUAAAGGGAGAAAUACAGUACCAGGUUUUUCACAGGCGCUGAAAUGUGAUUUUUUUUCUUUCUUUCUAGGAGUACUGUUUCAUAAGGGUUCAGAAAUCCACCCAAUUUUUACAGCCCUUUUCCUGAGUUGAGCUGUUCUGUGAGUCUUUGUGCGGCAAACCUGUCGCGACCCUCAGCGGAUAUGGAAAUGGGACCGGAUUGCAGAUAGACAGACCAGUGGUCACCCAUGUGAACACAUGAUUUUAUGUAAAGUUAAUGUGAUAACAUGACAACAUGUGAAGCAACAUGUAAAAACAACAUGGGGAUGCAACAUUUCAUUUCUCAGAAUGUUGUAUGAUAGUACACUGGGGGUUUGUGUCUAGUUGUGGUGAAAAUACGAUAAAUCUACAACCAGUUACUGUGUUUUAACACCUAAAUUAAGGUGUUAAUAUUAAAGGACAGUAUGCUGAUAUAUGUUGAUUAGUCGCGACUCAACCUCACUUAGGAUUUUAACUCACAAUCUUUUGGUUGUUAGCUACCUGAAGUUCCUCCUGCGCCACCAUGUCUGUACAUUUAUUGCCAAG